GCCUCUAGGACUGGGGAGUGCUGCUGUAUGCCUUACUGUGUCCCCGGUGGAACAGUCCUGAUGAAGAGCAGAAUAAGAACAAUCGGGGGAAUCCAGGGAUCAGCCUGUAAUGACUGUUUGGUGUUGUCGUUCUGCGGUGCAUGUGCAGUGUGCCAGAUGCAAAGGGAACUCGACAACAUGGGAGUCUUAUAAAAGCUGUGUCACCUUGACAUUUUUAAAAAAUAUUUUCAUCAAAUUUAAAAGUUAAUAUGACGUCAACCUGAAUACAUCCACAUCUUUUAUGGAUUAACAAAGCUAUCUAACUAUAGAGUGUAUUCGUUCAUCUUUUUUUUUUCGCAUUAUACUUCAGAUGCCUAGUUUUAACGAUUCCUCUUCACUUGUCAAUAUCGCUCUUGGUUACUACAUGUUGUAAGUUUGCUAUUUUCAAUUUUCUGGAAUAUUGCUUGUCAUAUUUGACAUAUGUGGUGGGGCCCUCACCUUCUUAGCUUCUUAGAUUACCAUUUUAAUAAAAUAUCCAAAUUUUUCAAA
Molecule: long non-coding RNA, 528 nt
Organism: Saccostrea cuccullata (small rock oyster)
Lineage: Eukaryota; Metazoa; Mollusca; Bivalvia; Ostreida; Ostreidae
Exons: 2
Source: RefSeq, a predicted model, not a curated record